Molecule: ribosomal RNA, 468 nt
Filed under: uncultured bacterium
Lineage: Bacteria
Description: partial 16S ribosomal RNA
Rfam family: Bacterial small subunit ribosomal RNA
Source: RNAcentral
GACGAACGCUGGCGGCGUGCUUAACACAUGCAAGUCGAACGGUGACGGAGGAGCUUGCUCCUCCUGAUCAGUGGCGAACGGGUGAGUAACACGUGAGCAAUCUGCCCCUGACUCUGGGAUAACUGCGGGAAACUGUAGCUAAUACCGGAUACGACGCGCGAAGGCAUCUUCUGCGCGUGGAAAGAAUUUCGAUCAGGGAUGAGCUCGCGGCCUAUCAGCUUGUUGGUGAGGUAAUGGCUCACCAAGGCGACGACGGGUAGCCGGCCUGAGAGGGUGACCGGCCACACUGGGACUGAGACACGGCCCAGACUCGUACGGGAGGAAGCAGGGGGGAAUAUGGCACAAUGGGCGCAAGCCUGAUGCAGCAACGCCGCGUGAGGGACGACGGCCUUCGGGUUGUAAACCUCUUUUGGCAGGGAAGAAGCGAAAGUGACGGUACCUGAAGAAAAAGCACCGGCUAACUACGUG